GCGCCUCCAGUUACACCCUGCCCGGGUGGUGAAAUCGGUAGACACAAGGGAUUUAAAAUCCCUCGAUCGUAAGGUCGUGCGGGUUCA
RNAcentral lists this transfer RNA (87 nucleotides) under Pantoea sp. Sc1. RNAcentral describes it as "tRNA-Leu". Lineage: Bacteria; Pseudomonadati; Pseudomonadota; Gammaproteobacteria; Enterobacterales; Erwiniaceae. The record is from RNAcentral.